RNAcentral lists this long non-coding RNA (1236 nucleotides) under Bos grunniens (domestic yak). RNAcentral's name for it is "lncRNA (ENSBGRG00000017833.1)". Lineage: Eukaryota; Metazoa; Chordata; Mammalia; Artiodactyla; Bovidae. The record is from RNAcentral.
AGAGAGGGAUUUGAAAGGAAUUAUUUGGCAUGGGGCUAUCUGUUAACCCAGGUCACGUCUUCCCAGGACCGAGAACGGACAGUGCCUUCAUCCUAUCGAGCAAGUCGGAGCUCCCCAGAGCUGCUCGGGCAGCUGGGCUCACACGCUUCCAAACAGUUCAGACAGUUACUAGAGCAGUGGGAGGAGAUCCAUGAGCUGAUUAUGCAUCCUUCAAUCUCCCUCCCUCACUCUGUCCUUAAAAGUUUUCCUGGACCCAUCAGGAAUUGGGUCUUUGGAACUCUAGCUGCCUGGACUCAUUGCAAUGAAUGGUGCACUUUUCUUGAUCACAAGAAAGUGGAUUAGCUGUGCACAAGUGAACGAAUCCAAGUUUGCUUCAGUAAGAAUAAUAGAAGUAUUUUUAUGAUAUUUUAAUUUCAUUAUUUACAAAUGUAUGUGCUGUACAUCCUGCUAUAAAAUGUGUUUCCCUCUGUAGGUCAGAGGCAAAAACUUCUGAAGGCAAGUGCUCUAACUUGAGAAAGUUGGGGAGGCUGUGGUUCUGGCCAGGGCGAUGAGUAUGGAUGAAGUGGAACAGUAUGCUGGCUUGACCAGUGCUUCUCAAUCAGGACCGAGAACGGACAGUGCCUUCAUCCUAUCGAGCAAGUCGGAGCUCCCCAGAGCUGCUCGGGCAGCUGGGCUCACACGCUUCCAAACAGUUCAGACAGUUACUAGAGCAGUGGGAGGAGAUUCUGCCAGCUGCUCCCACGUGCCUGCGCCUUCUGCCGUGCUAGAGAAAAAGCCAGAUGAACCCAGAGUUUACAAGCCCUGGAUCAACAUAGACUAUUCAGAAUGAAGCGCCAUAGUCCUGGGUUCUGACGCCCCCUGGUGGACACUUUGAGUUGAAGUUGGUAACCGACAAACGGACUAAGGUACUCUUUUACUUAUAAUUUAACUUUUAAUAUAAUUUUUAAAGGUUACUUUUCACUUAAAAUUAAAUUACAAAAUAUUGGCUGUAUUCCCCAUGUUGUACAAUACAUCCUUGAGCCUGUCUUUACACCCAAUACUUGCUACCUCCCACUCCACCACCCCUAUAUUGCCCCCCCAUAACAACUACUUUGUUCUUUGUAUCUGAGUCUGCUUUUUUGUUUUAUUCACGUUUGUUGUUUUUAUUUUAGAUUCCACAUAUAAACAAUAUCAUACAGUAUUUCUCUUUUAAUUAAUUUAUUUUAAUUGAAGGAUAAUUACAAUAUUGUGAUGGCU